Molecule: transfer RNA, 81 nt
Filed under: Pseudomonas simiae
Lineage: Bacteria; Pseudomonadati; Pseudomonadota; Gammaproteobacteria; Pseudomonadales; Pseudomonadaceae
Description: tRNA-Ile
Rfam family: tRNA
About the family: Transfer RNA (tRNA) molecules are approximately 80 nucleotides in length. Their secondary structure includes four short double-helical elements and three loops (D, anti-codon, and T loops). Further hydrogen bonds mediate the characteristic L-shaped molecular structure. tRNAs have two regions of fundamental functional importance: the anti-codon, which is responsible for specific mRNA codon recognition, and the 3' end, to which the tRNAs corresponding amino acid is attached (by aminoacyl-tRNA synthetases). tRNAs cope with the degeneracy of the genetic code in two manners: having more than one tRNA (with a specific anti-codon) for a particular amino acid; and 'wobble' base-pairing, i.e. permitting non-standard base-pairing at the 3rd anti-codon position.
Source: RNAcentral
GCGUUGGCUGAGUGGCUUAAAGCACCAGAUUGAUACUCUGGCGUGUGAGCAAUCGCACCACUGGUUCGAAUCCAGUACGCC